ACGGCGGAAGUUUUACCGUUAACUGUUGAAACACCCGGUGUUAAAAGUACAGUAAUACGCGUGGUUGCAUAGUAGCACACGGUAUUAAUUAUUGAUGCUUAUGUGAUAAGUCACUCAGUUUUGUUUUAUUGGUAUUAUUAAUGUAAUAAAACAGAAAAGCUUUUUAUAUAAAACAGAAUACUUUUAUAAAGUUAUUCGUUUUAUUAGGCUA
RNAcentral lists this long non-coding RNA (211 nucleotides) under Panax ginseng (ginseng). RNAcentral describes it as "long non-coding RNA (PGIN_LNC001716)". The record is from RNAcentral. Lineage: Eukaryota; Viridiplantae; Streptophyta; Magnoliopsida; Apiales; Araliaceae.